Long non-coding RNA from Gambusia affinis (western mosquitofish), 3572 nucleotides. RefSeq lists it as uncharacterized. The transcript has 3 exons. NCBI's taxonomy places the organism in Eukaryota, Metazoa, Chordata, Actinopteri, Cyprinodontiformes, Poeciliidae. The record is from RefSeq and is a predicted model, not a curated record.
AAUAUUUCAUGAGUAUGCUGGUCUUUUCACUAAAUAUUUUCUUGGUAAACUAAAUAUUUAUCUUGGAAUAACACCCAUUUUUUUCUGACUGACCAAAUAAACCAAAGUAUUGCUGUUGAUGUUUUACUGUUUAACUUUACGAACGGCGCCGUCAUCACAGGGAAAAGCACGAUUCACUGCAACCCGACAUGACGGAGGUUUAGCAGUUUAAUGGCCCGAAGCAAAAUCCUACAAUCACUUUUGAUUUUGCUUGCUGCAUAUCAUCGCAUUCCUCACAAAUCUCAGAGACGUGAUUGUGCUCUGACUUUAUUUUCAUGACCUAAUUAUCGCCACAGCUGUCGUGUUUUAUCCCAGGAGACGUUCACUAAAUCACUCUCUCUCUUGUAUCAGAAAUACAAAAAGGAAAAGAAAAAACAAGAAAUUUGUGGCACGUCGAAUACGAUCUCUGUCAUCUGGAGCCGUAGAGUCUCAUUUCAGUAACUGUUAGCGAUAGCGAGCUAAUCCUGGCUAUUGGCUCCUUCCCUCCUCCAGUAAUGAUCUUAUAAGCUUUACAUCAAUAAUUUUAUUGACCCGGAAGAUUUGCAUCAUAUAAAUGAUGUAAUAAAGCUAAAGAGCAGAUGUCUUUCUGGGUUUGUCUGCCAGAUUCAUCCUUUAAGAUGAAGAGUUUACAUAAACAGAACGAAACACACGGCAGUAAGUCUGAGAGCUGAAGGUCCAAAUUUCAGCAGAUUUUCUUUCUCUCAGUCUCACCUUUACGCAGCUACUUAUAUACGUGUGACUGCAGACACACCUUGAUCAUCUUAAAAAUAAUCAAACCUGUUGAUUAUUUUAAAUCAGCAGGUUUGAGUUAAUCUGCUGAUCCAACCUGUUUUCUUCUUCUAGUGAGAAUGAAAUGACUUAUAGAUGCAUUUUUGCGCUCCGGCACACGGACCAAUAUGUUGGAUCUUUACGAGACAAAAACUGAGAAGUACUAUUUACGUUCAAGUGAGGUUUUCGCAAACUUUUACUUUUAUUUUCUUUAUUUUGUGUGCUUGUAUGCUUAUUGUCUGAGGAUAAAUGCGGUUCAGUUUCAUUGUUUAUAAAAAUAAAAAAGCAUCGGGUUUGAUGCUUCUUGGUCUAAAUAACCGAAUGUCGUCAGAUUUCAGUGAAUCCAGGUGAGUUUUGACACUUUGUAUUCUGAUAUUGUUCGCACAUUUUCACGGCAGCAAAAAAGUGCUGAUAUUUACGCAAAAUUUGACGCAAAGUUAAUUUUUAUACAUGCUGACUUGAGCAUGAAAAAUAUGGCGCUGCACAUUUUUUGUGAGCAUGCUGCUUUAUGCAUGAGGAACCUGGUCUUUCUGAAGCUCCGCCUCCAGGAAGUCGUCCCAACAUGGCUCCUCUAUUAACCCUUUGAUGUUUUUACCAGCGCUGCUCUGAGCAGCAGCUCCUGUAAUGAGCUCAGCUGGUUGCUAAUUGCUGCUGGCUAGUCUGAAGGAUCUGAGUGGGGAAGGAGCUUCACCCUGGGGGCGGGGCUAGGUCCCUUCAGGUGUUUUAACAACUGAAUGGUUGCCAUGGAGAUUAAGGGAUUUCUCAAACCUGGAUGCAACACACCAGGGAAAAACAAAAACACGAUGGAAAGAUAAAACCAGUAAAUUUUUCAUUGAAACCAAAAUAAGUAAAAACCAGAAUGGAUUUUAAAUGGCUGAUUCUUUCCACCAAAGGAACUUUUUCUUCUGCUUAUUUUGUGUAUUUGGCAGAUAAAACGUGUUUUGAAGAGCCCAAAAACAAAGAGAAGAAAUUUCAGAGAAAAUUAAAGGGCAAAGAGAAACUCUGCUGCUUCAGCCACAAGCAGUCUGGAACCAGAUAUUUUAGCCUGGACGGAAAGUAGGCCGAGAUCUUCCCAUGAGGAGUCUCUCUACAUGCAGACAGGAGGGAGAUUUAUUACCCAGACUGCCCCGCGGGGAGCGCCGUCCCGUGCCCUGUCUAGGCAGAAUCGAUGAAGCUGAGGGAAGAGGAGCAGCAGGAUGAAGAUGAGAGUUCGGUGGACUCGGCUCUAUUGGGACCAAAGUUGCAUCAUCUGCUCCACCUCCAGCUGCUGUGGUUCCCCAACAUGUUCCCCUUCUCGCCUGUGGGGGCGCUGCAUUAAGAACCACUGAAGAAAACGACAUAAAAACUUCUGAAAACAGUGUAACUUCCUUCUUCACCAAAUGGAAACAAAAAUGAAGUGGAGUCAGAUUUUAGCAGUUGGAGGAUUUCUCUUUAGCCUUUGGCUAAACACCACAAGCUAACGCAUUUGUUUUGGUUGUAUUUACCCAGAAUGCACUGCACUGUUGUCUGCUUCCUUGCUUUUGGAGCGGUCUCCAGUCCACUUGGUGUUCACAUCUGCAUUUGAACUGAACCAGAGUUCACUUCCACUCUGGUGCGUACAAAGUUCGGACUCAAACCGGGACUAGAAGAACCGGUUUGGUUCCUUUGGGGAGGUAUGGAUGCUAAUCAAACAUUAUUCCAGAUCAAAAAACAAACUCCGGUCCACAAACCCCCGUCUUGGUUCGGUUGAAGUGAACUCUGGUGCGGUUCAAAUGCAUAUGUGAACACCAACCGGAGAUCGAUUCAGGUGUUUGUGCAGCUAUCUGCUAGGAAGUGCUAACCCAGAACAAAAAGCACUAGCGAUGAAACUGUUUACACAAUCAAAACAUUUUCUCACAUUUAAAAUGGUGUCUUAAAAAACUUUGAACAUCCAUUCAUUAGCAUCCAAUUGUUUUUGAUUUCUUGUUAGCUCCUGCUAGCGUCGCUAACAGUGUUAACUAGCUACCUUUGUAAACAGUUAAAUCACAAGCCAUCGUGUUAGCUUGUUUCAACAGAUAUCUCGUCUUUAACGGUUCAUUAAACUUCGAAUCCAGACAUUUUUGUCGGCACAUUAUCCUACAUGAUCUUGACUUCUUGUUUUGCUUAAAUUCUCCAGUUUGCUGUAACUUGUUAUUGACCCAGCAUGCAUUGCGCAGCUGAAAAAUAUAAUAAAGAUAUACAAUUUUUGAAAUUGUUAUAAAUUUUUAGGCAUCACAAACAACAACUUUUAGGUUAAUAUGAAAAUUACAACACAUUUAGGCAAACAUAAUCCCUUAAAAAAACGUUUAAUCCCACAGUUUAACAUAACUCAGGAGAAAAAUGGGCAGAUUUCAACGCGGCUCCUCAAAUCAUCCAGAUGUGACAUCACAGCAAUCUGAUUGGAAGGAGCUAAUAAAUAUGCAUGCCUAAGUUUUUAUUUGCACAGUCUGUACACUGCUGUCCUUAUCUUGACUCCAGAUUGUCAUGUCACCACUUGUUUUCUUGUUCUCGUUAAUUUCCCUCCAUUCACUUCCCUAAUUAACCCUCCCAGUAAUUAUUUACUCUUUGAUUCGCUCCUUGUUAUGCAGCUGAUGUCCUGGUAAUUCAGUCUGGUUUCCAGUUCGUUUAGUGUCUUUGUCUCCAAGGUUUCCCACUCUGAGUGUUUCUUCUGUCGUCUGCACGCUUCCUGCCUCUUAAAGAGCUUCAGUCCUUCUUUGCAUUUCAGACAUAAAACUGGUGGUGGUCCUGAACACUAAAGAGUAUUUAAA